This 108-nucleotide small RNA is filed under the name Marmota monax (woodchuck). The record is from RNAcentral. Lineage: Eukaryota; Metazoa; Chordata; Mammalia; Rodentia; Sciuridae.
GCUGGGCGUGGUGAUGCCCACCUGUAAUCCCAGCUGCCUUAGGAGGCUAAGACAGGAGGAUCACAAGUUCAAGGCCAGCCUCAGCAACUCACUGAGACCUUGUCUCAA